Lycium ferocissimum is the source of this 563-nucleotide long non-coding RNA. RefSeq lists it as uncharacterized. Lineage: Eukaryota; Viridiplantae; Streptophyta; Magnoliopsida; Solanales; Solanaceae. The transcript has 3 exons. The record is from RefSeq and is a predicted model, not a curated record.
UUUACAAGUAUGCUUUCAGAUGGGCUGAUUGUGUUCUCUCAAUCUACAACAAAGGCCAUGUCCCUUGGUACCAGGGGAGAAAACGGUGGCUUUAUGUCGAUAGUUAGGGAGACAAACCAAGGGCACUGGAUUGAUGGAGGAGUGAACUGUGUCAUUCGACUCUAUUGGUGCUAUAGAAUGAAAAGACAAGCUGAGAGAAGCAACAAAGGAGCUCGAGGUAAGCAUUCAUAUGGUCAAAGCUCCUGAUUCACCCAACAAGGAGCCAUGUCGGACCUUGGAACUGAACGUCGAAUACAUAAAGCUGAGUUACAUGUCAAAACAAUACGAUUUAUAUAGAAACCUUGCCGUCAAUUUCAUAUCAAAAGUCCAACAAAAAUCGUAUGGAGGAGUAAACAUUUCCUUUAUUCUCAAAUAACCACAACAUAAUUACUUUUAACAGAUUUAAAAUUUUGUUGGUGUGCUUAACAUGUGACGGAAUAUAGUUAAUUUUCAGAAAAUUUUACAAUCACUUGGUAAAGAAAUUAUUGAAGCACUUCAUCCUGUGACGAAUAUAGUUAAUUUGA